UUAACUGAAACCAAAAAGGAGGUAUGCCACUGUUAAUGGUAUGAUUGAAGUACAUUCCAGUUAAA
RNAcentral lists this transfer RNA (65 nucleotides) under Prosopocoilus astacoides blanchardi. RNAcentral describes it as "tRNA-Asn". RNAcentral also lists the same sequence under 1 other name. Lineage: Eukaryota; Metazoa; Arthropoda; Insecta; Coleoptera; Lucanidae. The record is from RNAcentral.